UUCUGUUAUUGUUGCCAUCUAUUUUUUUAGAGUAUAUCUUAACAAUUCUAUGCUUCCCAAACAUUCACUAGACCACAAUAUGAUUUUUAGCUUCCUUCUCCUAAAGACUCUAACCCAUUUUUUUUUCUUUCUUUUUCUUUUCACACUCAAUCUCAAUCCCCAAAUAAGUUCCCACCUAAUCCUACCAAGUCCAAAAACGCGGAUUGGAACUACAUGAGAUACUACUCUUGUCGGCUCAAACCUAACACGUUCUACCAAGCUCAAUCCUGAAAAUAGGCCUCACAUGCUCUCACAAAAUAACAUGGCUUGAAAGAAGGGUUAGUUAAGGGUGGGGGAACUACUCCAAUAAUAGAAGCAGCUACUUGGAUUAACAAGAGUGGUGAAUAAGUGAAAGAAAAUCCAAAUAUGUAUUCUAUCCACGAGUUCAAAAACGAUGCAAAUAUGA
This 445-nucleotide small RNA is filed under the name Arabidopsis thaliana (thale cress). Its description in RNAcentral is "ATSL164820". Lineage: Eukaryota; Viridiplantae; Streptophyta; Magnoliopsida; Brassicales; Brassicaceae. The record is from RNAcentral.